GGAAGACCUGGAUGCUUCAUACUUUGUAUAUAGAUGCCUCAUGUUACGAAGUUUCCGUCAUUCACAUGUCCAAUGUCCUUGACCUCAUUUUCAUGGUUCAGUGACCACUUGGAAAAAAAGUUCAGAUUUUUUGUAAUGUUGAAUUCUCUCUUAUUAUAAGUAAUAGGAUAACUAUAUUUGAUAUGUGCGUACCUUGAAAGGUCCUCAUGUCUGUCAGACAGUUUUCACUUGACCUCGACCUCAUUUCAUGGAUCAGUGAACAAGGUUAAGUUUUGGUGGUCAAGUCCAUAUCUCAGAUACUACAAGCAAUAGGGCUAGUAUAUUCGGUGUAUGGAAGGACUGUAAGGUGUACAUGUCCAAUUGGCAGGUGUCGUCUGACCUUGACCUCAUUUUCAUGGUUCAGUGGUUAUAGUUAAAUUUUUGUGUUUUGGUCUGUUUUUCUCAUAGUAUAUGCAAUAGGUCUACUAUAUUUGUUGUAUGGAAUGAUUGUAAGGUGUACCUAUCUAGCGGGCA
This 513-nucleotide long non-coding RNA is filed under the name Mytilus galloprovincialis (Mediterranean mussel). Lineage: Eukaryota; Metazoa; Mollusca; Bivalvia; Mytilida; Mytilidae. The record is from RNAcentral.